GACGGACGGUGCAAGCGUUGCUCGGAAUCACUGGGCGUAAAGGGUGCGUAGGCGGCCGUGCAAGUCUGGCGUGAAAGCCCCGGGCUCAGCCCGGGAAGUGCGCUCGAAACUGCGCGGCUUGAGUGCCGGAGGGGAGAGUGGAAUUCCUGGUGUAGCGGUGAAAUGCGUAGAUAUCAGGAGGAAUACCGGUGGCGAAAGCGACUCUCUGGACGGGAGCUGACGCUGAGGCACGAAAGCGUGGGGAGCAAACAGG
This 253-nucleotide ribosomal RNA is filed under the name uncultured bacterium. Its description in RNAcentral is "partial 16S ribosomal RNA". It matches the Rfam family "Bacterial small subunit ribosomal RNA", at positions 524 to 776 of the family's 1533-position model. The record is from RNAcentral.